Molecule: long non-coding RNA, 921 nt
Organism: Syngnathus typhle (broad-nosed pipefish)
Lineage: Eukaryota; Metazoa; Chordata; Actinopteri; Syngnathiformes; Syngnathidae
Exons: 2
Source: RefSeq, a predicted model, not a curated record
AUUCGGACUGAGACUUUUGUUUACACGGUGAGAAAUUCAUCACAUGAGCGCAACAAAACGCACCACGGGCGCCUUGUUUGUUUGUUAUGGGUUUCCUAAUAUCCCACAGCAACAACCUGACACGCCCCACCUUUUUCCAAAGGAAUGGCAGUUAACCACGUGGUGUCGACUCCAAAGGGAUGAUGUCAUCGUGAAAAUACUGCAAGAAGCCUGCAGUAAUGUAUGGCCACUUCAAUGUCAGCCCGACGCGCAACACUGGACUGAGAUGGAAUAUUUUUUCCAAUAUUAUGAUUAUCAACGGGAUGCGUAUAUUGAUGCAACACACAAAAGCACAAGUGGCACGAGUCGAGCAGCCAUCUGCACACACAAUAUGAACACUUUUUGCAUGUUUUUGUGAUGCAUUUGCGUAUUGCGCAAAUCUAACCAUCAUCAUACAUACAUUAACCCCCUACUUGGGUUAGUCAAGGGACUUAUGUUACUCUUGACGUGAGGACAGCAAUUUCUCUCAAUAAUGAUCACAUUUGAUUUAACAUGGUAGUAAACAUAAAACCUAAAACUCAAACCAGUGAGCAAACCAUGCAUUUAGCUCAGAAAUUUAGGUGCAAAAAUAAGUACAAUCUCCACAAAUUUGAUGAAGAAAUAUUAGAAAAAACAAACAAGCCAUCUGACAUACACACGUCUCUUUAUUAACCCCCAAAGAUAAGACCACGCCGUGCUCCUUCAGCCAUGCCUUUUUGUUUUCUUUCAAGUACACAAAACCAGCUAAAAGUCUAAAGAGUCCCUCGGCAUUGUGCUUCAGGGAGGUCUGACGGUGUCCCAUUCAACAUCGGAAGGGUACGUAUUACCCCCUAUAGUUAUGAGUACACGAGUGUCUAUUUGUAUAGAAUUACAUCUUCAAAAAAAAUAAAACACUAAACCUGA